AUGGACUGCUUGCAAGCCAGGAAAGCCAUGGCCGUCAAUCUCCUCAUCCUCCACCUCGAUGAGGUCGGACGCCUGUAUCCCGCGAGGCUGGAGAUGGCGCCCACCGUGAGGAGUGGACGGAGGUGCUGGAACCUCCCAGCAGAGGUGCUACGACGGCAUGACGGAGAUGCUACAUCGGUCGCCGGUGAAGAUGCAUCCAUUGCCGGCAAAGAUGCAUCCGUCGAAGGCGGCGCUGUGACGACAUGGCGGAGGUGUUGGAACCGGCUGACAGAGGUGUUGCAUCCGUUGCCGGGGAAGCAGCAUCCCCUGUCGUCGGUGCUGGGUGAGGUGCUGGAACCGCUCGACGGAGGUGUUGCAUCCAUUUGCUGGCAAAGCUACAUCCAUGGCUGGCAAAGCUGCAUCCAUAGCCCAAUUUCGCAUUUUUGUUACUACCGUUUAUUUUUUUGCUGGAACCAUCACAAGUUUUUGCCACCACCGAUUUUUGGGUUUGCUUGA
RNAcentral lists this ribosomal RNA (495 nucleotides) under Triticum aestivum (bread wheat). RNAcentral's name for it is "partial small subunit ribosomal RNA". The record is from RNAcentral. Lineage: Eukaryota; Viridiplantae; Streptophyta; Magnoliopsida; Poales; Poaceae.